GCCAAGGCCGGGUGGGGAGCUCGGGCUCCAGUGAGCACGAAGCUCCGCGCCAGUGGGUGAAGCAAGUUGUCUCCGGGGCCGGGAGGACACCGGUGAGGACCCGGCACCAAUCAGAGCGUGGACGCCAAAUUCCUGACUCACCAUUUUAGCUUUGGAAGACGCAAAUCCAGCCCAAUAGUUUACAGACGAUUUGUUCUUCCUUCCAAGCCUUCCUUCCAAGCAAGGCUCUGUGCUCUGCAUGUUUCUGAUCAACUGCCCCAGAAAGGACGGUUGAGUGAGAGGAUAACCCUGUUCCUUUGGCCCUUUCGUGCUGGACGAAUAAAGGAACUUUCAUUGCUGAGAACUGCAAGAAGGUGCUUCAGAUGGAGGAGGAAACCGCUAAACCAGAGGUUUUGUGUCCCCCGCCCAUCUUGAUGUAUGGUGUAAAUCUAGUUCAAAUAUCUACCCGUACCCCCAGUCCAAGCCUUAGGUAAUUGGUCUUUUGCAAAACAAGGCUCAAGAUAAAUGAUGCAUAAAGUUCUUUGAGAUCCCUGGA
Molecule: long non-coding RNA, 535 nt
Organism: Suricata suricatta (meerkat)
Lineage: Eukaryota; Metazoa; Chordata; Mammalia; Carnivora; Herpestidae
Exons: 2
Source: RefSeq, a predicted model, not a curated record